GGAAGGAAGCCCGAUGGAGGGGGAUAACUACUGGAAACGGUAGCUAAUACCGCAUAACGUCGCAAGACCAAAGAGGGGGCCUUCGGGCCUCUUGCCAUCGGAUGUGCCCAGAUGGGAUUAGCUAGUAGGUGGGGUAACGGCUCACCUAGGCGACGAUCCCUAGCUGGUCUGAGAGGAUGACCAGCCACACUGGAACUGAGACACGGUCCAG
RNAcentral lists this ribosomal RNA (211 nucleotides) under uncultured bacterium. RNAcentral describes it as "partial 16S ribosomal RNA". It matches the Rfam family "Bacterial small subunit ribosomal RNA", at positions 120 to 334 of the family's 1533-position model. The record is from RNAcentral.